Molecule: long non-coding RNA, 3515 nt
Organism: Rattus norvegicus (Norway rat)
Lineage: Eukaryota; Metazoa; Chordata; Mammalia; Rodentia; Muridae
Source: RefSeq, a predicted model, not a curated record
GAAGGUGAGGCAGGCAUUCCGGCUGGAGACAGGACAGGGACAAGACACCUCUUCUCUUCCAACUCCUACUCUAGUACUCCCGCCAAGUAGUCCCUGAAGCGGAAGCUGGGUGACUAGCCCACUGGAGGAAGCCAGGCCCAUUCACGAGACAAAGAAGUUGUGCUUUUCCCGGCCUUGCCGGCGCGGGAGCCAUCUCCAUGGCGGCUAGCAGAGGAGCCACUGGGAGGCCCACAGGGUGCGCACAGAGCCGCGGUUCUUGGUCCCUGGAACAUAAGAUGCUGAGGGUCCCAAAGAUCAAACCUUCUGCCAGUUCCCAGAUCAUCAAACCCUAACCAGCCUUGUCCCUGUGACCCGCCACCAGCUAUAAAGAUUCUCAUGCCCUCUUCUGACCUCCCUUCUGAGCCCGGGCACACAGUGCACAUACACAACUUGCAAACGAAACACAUGCACAUGAAAAAUAAGAUAAAGAAAUCUUCAGAAGAAGAAAAAAAAAAACCCAAAAAGGAACCGAGGAAAACCAUCGGGAGGAAAUGAGUCACAGGUGAGCCAGGCAUUUAAUGAACAGGACAAAGCAUUUCCUACUGUUAGUCACACAGACCGAGGGCUUCAUGUGGCUGGGUAUGUUUCAGGGCUGUGGCAACUCUAAAGAGCAGACAAGCAUAGGAGAACAAGACUGGGGAGAGUCAAGGAAAUUUCCCAGCUCAUCACACCGGUGUCAUCUGAUUCCAGACUCCAUGCCUUAUGUGUCCCUGUGGCUGCUUUGGAAAAGCCACACGGGGAAGGUAAUAACAGUUCUGGAGAACAUCAGUCAUAAGCCCUCCUCUCCAUUGUCAGUUUGGUGGCAUCAAAAAUUGCCUAGGAGAUGGGCUUUUCUGAACAUGGCUGUGAGGGAGGGGCUAUCUUGUUUAGGUUAACUGAGGUGGGAAGAUUCGCCCACUGUGGGUGGCCCAUUCCCUAGGUUGAGACCCUGGGCUCUAUAAAAUGAGCUAAGUGUUCAAAGUGCAGAAAAUAAAGGACAACUGAAUGCAAAGGGACCCCUGUGCACCACCCUCUUCCAAAAGCUCAGGGACCACCUCAGAGGGAGAGGUAGGAAGGUUGUAAGAGACAGAGGUCAGAGAGAACCAGAGCAAAACAGUGACUGCUGGGCAUGGCAGGACCACUAUGCUCAAAGAACUCAAAAAGCAAGCUCCUGCGGGUUACCUGCACAAGAACUAUACAAAAUCAAGCCAGUCGACAUUCUAGUGUGAAGUGGGAAGGGAUUCUUAAGCCCUCACCCCUAAACGAGGAGCUAUGGAAAGUCAGUGGCUACAGGGAUGGGGAACACAGAGCCAAUUUUUUUUUUUUUCCGGAGCUGGGGACGGAACCCAGGGCCUUGCGCUUGCUAGGCAAGCGCUCUACCGCUGAGCUAAAUCCCCAACCCCGCCAAUUUUCUUUAGGGUGUGACUCCUGGUAAGCUAACUCUGUUCCCUCCAGUCGAUGUCCCCAUACCCAGGAGUAUAUCGGCAGCACAAAUUGGAAUUAAUGGGCCAUUUUAAAAAGAGGACACAAAGUUUCAGGAGGGAAAGGAGGUGGGGAUGGGUGGAAGGAUUCAGGGAGAAAGAAUGGGGGGGUUGAGUUGAUCAAAAUAAUAUCACAUGAAAUUCUCAAAGAAUUAUUUAAAAUAUUUUUAAAGAUUUAUUUUUAUUUUUAAUUCUGUAAAUGUGUAUGUAGUAUGUAUGUAUGUAUGUAUGUAUGUAUGUAUGUAUGUAUGUGGGUUCCCUUAGAGACCAGAGAUGUUGGAUCCCUUGGAUAUGGAGUUAUAGGCAGUUGUGAACUGCCUGAUGUGGGUCCUAGGAACUGAACUCAGAUCCUUUAAAGAAUCAACAAACGCUCUUAACCUCUAACCCAUCUUUCCAGUCCCUAAAAAAAAAUUUGUUGAAGUAAACUGAGCACAAGCAUUCACUGUCUUUUGCUUCCUGACACGAUGCCACCGACUGCCUCAUGCUUCUGCUGUCUUGAUUUCCCCGAUAGGAUGGGUUGUAUCCCCCGGAAGCAUGAGAUCCCUUAAGUUGUUCUGGCUGGGGUAUCUCAUCACAGCCUCAGAAGAGUAACUAUGACCCAGAGCAAGGGAAUGACAGUUCAGGGAGAACCUUGCAGACAGAGCAACUGCCCAUCCAAGCCCCCUAAGAGACCCUAAGACUUAUGGGUACUGAACUGAGAACCUAGACAGAAGAAGGUGAGAUCUCCUAUGGGUGGGUGGGUCUGCCUUUCCAUGUCAGCCUAUCUACAGGACCUGGAGACUUGUACUUCCUGACCCAAAACAUCAAGACUCCGAAAUCUGGGUCUUUCUUAUCCCACAUGCUCAGAACCUCAGGUCCUGCUCUCCAGUACCUAGGAACCUCUCCCCCCCUUUUUUUUUUUUUUUGGUUCUUUUUUUCGGAGCUGGGGACCGAACCCAGGGCCUUGCGCUUCCUAGGUAAGCGCUCUACCACUGAGCUAAAUCCCCAACCCCCUUCUCCCCUCUUUUACUCAAUCUUAGAUCCAUCAGGGUUUGUCUGGUCAUGUGCCAAAGGGAUCAGACUUCAAAUCUGGAAGAGUUAAAGAGCCCCCCACAUUCCCCAUGUCCCCGACAGGUUUCCUGAAUAUCAACCAAAAAAAAAAAAAAAAAAAAUAGAUGUGUUUGAGUUGAGGAGGGCCAUGAAUGAGGAAGUGGAGAGGAUUUUGUGAAUGAGCAUCUUAAAUCCCAGCCCCAAAUCUGCACUAGCUUAACACACACAGCACCUCUCAGUAUCUGUACAGGUCACCUGGGUCCUACCACUCAUUCUUUUUCCUGUAAGAUAAGAUGGUUUGAGUGUGUGUGUGUGUGUGUGUGUGUGUGUGUGUGUGUGUGUGUGUUUAAUCAAAUUUGUGGGUGCCCACAGAUGCCAGAAGAAGGUGUCAGAUCUCCUAAAAUGGGAGUCACAGGAAGUUGUGCGUUUCUGUGAGUGCUAGGAACCAAACCCAAGCCCCUCUGCCAGAGCAUUUAACUGCUCAGCCGCGUCUCUAGCCCCUUCACAAUUCAUUCUUUUCUCAGUCCAGGCCAAGUUUCCAGAAUCUCCCGGGACCUCAGCCAGUCCCCACCAGUGGAUUUUAAUUGCCUGACAAAAGUAAUACCAAUAUUUAUAAGGGAACAAACACGGAUACCAUAAAUAAGUACAUUACUGACUCAUUGAAUUAAUUAGUGUUUAAUUACUCGAAAUUACCAUCAGUUACUACCAAUUACCCGAACAACGAAUGCAUUCUUUCUCCAUUACAGAUGGCAAUUUCCAGGGCCAAACCCAGAGACCUGAGCUGUAGGGAGCAGCCUCUGCCCUGGGGUUCUGCUCCAGCUCCCCUCCCCCACUGCCCACCUUGGAAUGGUCCACCUGCUUUGUCACAUUCCAGAACACCAAGCGCCAGACUGGUCACCAGGGACACAUCUGCAGACUAAAGAGACAAAAUUUUUGUCCUUGUAGAAUUCACAAUCCAGUAGAGGAUGAGGGGGGGAAAAAGCUUUA